AAGUCGUAACAAGGUAACCGUAGGUGAACCUGCGGUUGGAUCAUUAACAAUGGUUUUCAAACCUUUAUUCUGUGCACUGUAUUGUUCUUGGUGUUUUCCGCCUCUUUCUUUGGAGAGGAGCGGAGGCACCGACAUUUUUAAACCAUGUAUUGUAUCGAGUCUUGCAUUUGUAUUAAAAUGAAAAACUUUUGACAACGGAUCUCUUGGCUCUC
This 212-nucleotide unclassified non-coding RNA is filed under the name fungal sp. RNAcentral's name for it is "partial internal transcribed spacer region". The stretch from base 1 to 46 matches the Rfam family "Eukaryotic small subunit ribosomal RNA", at positions 1786 to 1831 of the family's 1831-position model. Lineage: Eukaryota; Fungi. The record is from RNAcentral.